CUCUCUCUCUCUGUCAAAAACAAAUAAAACAUUAAAAAAAAAAUUUAAACGCAGCUUCUGCACAGCGCCCUGAGUACUCACUGGGCCCUUAGCACCACCAUUUAUGGGUACGGUUUGCCAGGUGCUGGUGGCCACAGGCAACGUGACCUGAGCAGGGUCUUAUGAGAGUGUGUGUGUGAGUGUGACAAUUCGUGUGAAUGUGUAUGAUGCGUGCGUGUGCACGUAUGAGCUUGUGAGUCUGCAUGGAUGUUAGUCUGUGGGAGUGUGCAUGAGUGACUGUUUUAAUGUGAUCUAUGUGAAUGUGAUUGUGCACAUGUGAGUGUGCAAAUGGGUAUUUGUUGAAGGUGUGUGUGACAUGGGCCUGUAUGUGUGCACUUUGUCCCUUAGGGUGUCUGGAGGCAGAUCCUGCCACUCUCUUCCCAGCGUGGGUGGUGCUGUGCCCACGGUCACCUUUGCUGUAACACAGCAGCCAGGCUGGACCCCCUGAGUGAUUUUGCUCGGAAGCCUGGACAGCCUGGCUCAAGCCCGUCCUUGCCCCCUGGGAUGCUGGGAGGAUCGUUUUCACUCCUCAAUCCUGUGUUUUCAUUGCAAUCUCAAUCCUGUGUUUUCAGUAAAACAGGUUGCCAGUGUCAUGCAUUCUGACUUCAAGGCUUUGUCACCCAAGAUGAGGCGCCCUGCCGUUGCUCACUGGAGCGUGAAGUCAGAGAGCCCUGAGGUCACCAUGCUAUGAGGAAGCUCAUUUGAGCCCCCGGCCUCCAGUCCUGGUCACCUCCAGUCCUGGCCACAACUGUGGGAGAGACCCUGACUCAGAAUCACUGAGUCUUUCCUGAAUUCAUGACCCAUGGAGAAAAAGAAAAGAAACAAAAAAGAGAAGAAAAAAUAAAAUUGAAUAGAUGGACCUGCUAACAGAUUGAAAUACGACUGAAAUUACUUCGUUUUCCUGUAGAAGGCAGACUAUGAAGCGCUUUAUAGUCCAUAAACCAAGCCGGUGGUGAGCCUUGUGUUCUUGAAGAGCGAAGUUGGCCCAGUUGGGCGGGGCUCGCUGUAACAGCUCCGCUCUCCACUAGAUGGCGCUGCUAGCCUACUGGGGUGGAGUGUUGCAGCACCAGCGAUUGUGGCCGUUCUCUGGGGUCUUCUGCGACCAGGUGGCCUCAACAGUCUCUACCAAAUGUUCUUCCAGCAGUGGAACCACUUUUUCCCGUGUGGCCCAAGAACCUCCCGGACUCCACUCUGCUCCUGGGGAUUCACACUUCCGACCCGAGCACCACCAGGUAUGGAGCUGUGGAGUUUCAGACUCUGCAUUCCCCUUGUUUACAGUCUUAAUGGAAUUUAAACCCUCGCCUUUCUCCUUUUUUAGUUCAGUCCCUGUGGCUGUUUCUAAUUUUCCGCUUUCUCUCCAGCUGCUUUUGGGGAAGGGUGCUUUUCCCGUAUUCUCCCCCCUCCCCAGUCUCCGUCCUCUCUCUGCCCGCAGAAGCACCUCCCUUCCCGCGGUUUCUCUCUCCCCCAGUUCAGCUCUCCACGCCGCAUCCCUGCUGAAUUCUGUGGUUCAGGUUGUGCAGAUUGUUGUGUUAGUCCUCCAAUCAGUUUUCUAGGUGUGCAGGAUGGCUUAGUGUUGGUCUGGCUGUAUUUCAUGCAUGCGAGACACACAAAAAACUUCCAUGCUGUUCCACCAUAUUGGCUCCCUCCCUCCCCUUCUUGUUUUUUUUUUUUUGUUUGUUUGUUUUUGUUUAUUUUUUUAUGUUUGAGAGAGAGAGCGAGCGAGAGCGAGUGCAUGGAUGUGCAUGUGCGCAUAAGCGGGGAAAGGGCAGAAACAGAGAGGGAGAGAGAGAAUCCCAAACAGGCUCAGGACUGCCAGCAAGGAGCCCAAUGUGGGGCUUGAACUCUCCAACCAUGAGAUCAUGACCUGAGCCGAGAUCAAGAGUCUGACACUUAACUGACUGAGGCGCCCAGUUGCCUAUCUUUUUGUUUCUCUCUCUCUUUUUGAUAGUUUAUCUUCAGUUUAUCUGGGGGAAUGGGGAGUAGAUGGUUCCAGGCCCCUGUGCCCACUCUGAAGACCACUGUGGCUCAGGGGACCUGGCUUCCUGCCUCUAGGGGUAAAGCAACAGUUCUAAGCAUAAGGGAAGGGAGACAAAUGUCUCAGAUGAGACGACUGCUCAGGCAUUGCUCACAAUGACUCUGGAGGCCUGAGUCCUCUAUUCUUGAGCCUCCUGUUCUCUCCCCACUUCCUGUCCCACUCACCCCUUCUCAGUGCUUCUGGGGCCCCUCCCACUUUUGGAGGAACCCAAAUGAAGACCCCUGUCCCAGUUUAGCUCUCUGAAAACAUCCCAGGUUAGUGUUUUUCUGGGAAAAAGCUGUUAAUUAGGCAGCAUUUCUGAGGUCCAGGGUGAUGGCAUGGCUGUUUUGAUGCAAGGACCGGGGGGGACCCCCAUCGCAGUAGAAGGCCCCCACUGGGAAACUGCCUUCCUGGUGUGAGGAGUGUGGUGUCUGCUCCUGUCUUGGUUCAGGGUGGACAGAGCCAAUCGAUCAUGGCGGCCACCUCCUUAGAACUCACACCUACCUUGGCUGUUUUCAAAAGGCCAUUGUUGGUCUCCGGGUCCGUGGUGACAGUGUAGAGGCCUGCUCUGUCAUUCAGGAUGGAAAACACUGCCUUCCCUGCUGGAGAGCCUGGGGCAUCUUCUCUCUUCACCUUCAGUCUCAGUAUCCCUGCAUCCACCUUGUUUUCAAACACCUGGCCCGUGUACUGCAAGAGAAGGACACAGACACUCAUUCCUGACAUCCUGUGUGGGGACCUGGGAAGCAGCCUGUGGCAGCCUCAAGGGAUCUUCAGCAGGAUGGGCCAUGGUAGAAGGGUCUUUUCUUGAAGCGGGUGUCUGUUGGCCUGAGGGGCACCUGCAAAGGCCCUGCUCAGUACCCUGGACAUGUGCGUCAGCGGUGGGGCUUCCAACAGCUCAGUGUCUACUUCCACUCUGUGCCAAAGGGACGGGAAAGGGUGAAACCGUGUCUCCUAGCUCCUGAAGCUUGGAUCCCAAAGUGUGUAUCAGCCGAGGAGGAUAUGUCCCCAUGGCCAAGUGCAGCCAUUCCGGGCUCUGUUCUCAGGUUGCAGCCACCGUGCGAAGCUCCUCAGAUCCCAGCUGAGGCCAUUAGCCCCGCAGGCUCAGGAGCCAAGCGAGAAGUUGGACCUAGAGUGGCUCCUCCAGCCUGUCCCCCGCACCUCGCUGUCAGGUCCCUUCUGACUCAGUCUCCAUGGGGAGCAAGUGUCUCUGUCUUACAUCCUGCACACGAGACUGUUAGGAGGGCUCUGCUGGAACACCUUCCAGGCUCAGGUGUGACCCUGACUCCAGCCCUAGUCACCUUGGGAGGGACGCUGGGUUUAUUGCCCAGGACUCUGUGGAUGAUAUGGUAACGUCUACAACUGUCUCUGCAUUUCGGUUAUAGGGAAUUCAGGCAUGUGAGCCUCUGCUGUUCUCUGUCUCUUUGUAUCCUGGCGUACCUGUCUUGGGAACAAAGGACAGAGAAGGAUGGGCUUCCUAAUUGUAGCACGUCCAGCAGUGGGUUCAAAAGAAUUAACUCAAUUAUUUUUCGGAUACAUCUUCCAGAGUAGAGACAGUGUGCUCUCUGAGGUCAGACUGGUUCCAAUUCCAGCCCAUGAAUGAAUUCCUAUUAGCACCUUCCUGUACAUUAUUUACUGUGGUCCUCAUAUACCCCCAGAGGGCAAAAUCACUGCCCCCCCCCCUUCCAUAGAUGAUAAACACAGGGAGGUCAGACAACUUCUUCUCCAUUCAACAAGGCUAACUGAUCUGUACUGCUGUCAGGGUAGCACCAGUGGGAGCAGACAGACCAUAAUCUGUACUGCAGUUUAGGAGACCAGGGCUACUAUCACCUCUGAUUUUGGGGAGGGGCACAGAAACACUAAGGUCACAGCUACAGGACUGAGAAGGGGAUGCUUGGGACCUAAAUCCAAGGCCCACUGCCUUGAGCAUAUCCCUGGACUUUAUGCCAAGGGUCUGGCCCAUCUCCCCUGAGAGAAAGCAGCUCAGAGCCUGGGGCUCUAGACACCCAGGUGACCACCCUGUCACCAUUCCCAGUGGCCUGAGCAGGGCCAGCCCAUGGAAUCCAGACCCCAUGUCCCUGGGCUUAAGCCAGGUGACCACCAAACAGGUAGGCCUUGGUUAAACCCCUCAAGGCCUGCAGGCUUUGCCUGGAACCUUCAUCAUGACUCUCCUAUGGCAUUGGGCUGCUUAAGAGUGGGCAAGGGGGUCCAGCCUAAUGGGGUCAGUGCCAGUUAUUCUGUUAUUCUCACUGUGUGAUGCCCUGCUCUGUAAUCCCUGCUACCUAAACAAAUUCCAGCCAGGGGUGGCCGCAUACCACAUUCUGGCUGGUGAGGUCAAAGUGCAAGUCUACCUGGUGGAGGUUAUGGUAAAAAGACACCCGGCAUGGCUCUUGAUCUCUUCCCUCCCUCUUCUAACUGGAUCAGUGGUCUGGUGUAGCAGCCACCAUGAAGACAAAACUCACAAGCUAAGGAAGAUGGAACAAAAAGAAGGAAUCUGUGUCCCUGUGUUGCCGCUUGGUGUGCCCGGAAGCUGGGGCCUUCUGUGUCUGGAUUGUGUUACAUAGAGCAGUAAACCCGUCAUGGUUUUAAGCCAAUCCUGUUGACUUUUCUGGGUGUGUAGAUGAAAGGAUGUCUGCCUCAGGAGGUUGAAAUCAUGCAGGUAAAAUGUGUAGACAUAAACUGCUCAGUAACUUGGAACUGACAGUUGUUCUUGGUUGGUCUGCACCCUGAGCAGGUACAGAUACCUCUGUUUCCCAGUGAGACCCUACUGGUGUGACUGCUGCCUGAGUUAGCACUGAGAGCUGGGAGGUUCCUGCCCUACCCUGAGCCACUGGAGAGGCCCACAUGGGACUGCCCACUGGGGCCCCACUGAGACACCGCCCUUAUCACAGGAAGGAUGCCUGUGCCCUGCCCCCGGCUCCACACCCUGUCUAGAGAGUCCUCUCAGGCCAUUGCGAUGGGGAUUUGUGGUUGGAACACAGAGACUUUGAUUCCAUUCCAAUUGUUGCCUCAACUGAGAAUACAUAAAGGCACCUGGGACCUUCCUUCCUUGAGGAUAUAUCGAGGCAGCAUUGCCAGGUGCACUGACGUGACACAAAGUGGCAAGAGGAAGGGACAGUCCUAAAGACCUGAACAAGUACAACAAUCAAGAUGAUUUGACCUGAAGACGACGCAGAAGCAGAAAAGCAAAAAAGGACCCCAGUCAG
Acinonyx jubatus (cheetah) is the source of this 5256-nucleotide long non-coding RNA. RefSeq lists it as uncharacterized. The transcript is spliced from 5 exons. The record is from RefSeq and is a predicted model, not a curated record. NCBI's taxonomy places the organism in Eukaryota, Metazoa, Chordata, Mammalia, Carnivora, Felidae.